GUAGGUGGCAAGCGUUGUCCGGAAUUAUUGGGCGUAAAGCGCGCGCAGGUGGUUCUUUAAGUCUGAUGUGAAAGCCCCCGGCUCAACCGGGGAGGGUCAUUGGAAACUGGGGAACUUGAGUGCAGGAGAGGAAAGUGGAAUUCCACGUGUAGCGGUGAAAUGCGUAGAUAUGUGGAGGAACACAAGUGGCGAAGGCGACUUUCUGGCCUGUAACUGACACUGAGGCGCGAAAGCGUGGGGAGCAAACAGGGAUUAGAUACCCUGGUAGUCCACGCCGUAAACGAUGAGUGCUAAGUGUUGGGGGGGUUUCCCGCCCCUCAGUGCUGCAGCUAACGCAUUAAGCACUCCGCCUGGGGAGUACGGUCGCAAGACUG
RNAcentral lists this ribosomal RNA (374 nucleotides) under uncultured organism. Its description in RNAcentral is "partial 16S ribosomal RNA". It matches the Rfam family "Bacterial small subunit ribosomal RNA", at positions 527 to 896 of the family's 1533-position model. The record is from RNAcentral.